Numida meleagris (helmeted guineafowl) is the source of this 1625-nucleotide long non-coding RNA. The record is from Ensembl. NCBI's taxonomy places the organism in Eukaryota, Metazoa, Chordata, Aves, Galliformes, Numididae.
UCCCUCCAGAUGACAUAAUUUUGAAUUUACUAUCAAUAAACAUAAUUAAGUGAUUAUUAGGUCAUAAACAAAUUUCCUAAGAAAGAUUUCAGAUGUGCCCCACAUUUCAGAUAUUUCCACAGAAACAAAUCUUUACUGGUCUUCAGAAAAAUAUGUGACCUCUGAGUGCUUGCACUGCAUUUACAGAGGUGACCAAGCAGCUGAGAUACAUCCAUUUAAUGUCAUUUCUAAAAGCCCUUUGCAUGGUUAGGUCCUCCUCCUGCUCCUGACUACCAUUUAAACCAGACAGUCCCAGUGCUUAAAUCAACAUUGUGAUCCUACUUGGAGGUUUCCCAAACUGGAUAGUCUGUUGCUCAGCAGUUUUUGUCUUUUUGUUGUUGGUUGUUUAUGAUGAAAUAUUCUGAAGAUUCUGCAAGAUCUAGUAUAGCUGGUCAGGCCAAAUGUCCUGUGUAACAUAGGACAACAGCAGAUGAAUGAAUUCUUCUGUAUCUUUCUUUCUCAACGUCAAAAUGAAAAAGUGCAUGAUUUGGACUACGGUAUCUGGGAAAGAAAUGAAUGUACAACUUUUUUGCAAUUUUGACAUCCAUGUUGCCUACUUCAAACUAGCACCUACUUUGAGAAACGCUGUGAAGAAAAGGACAAAAGGAAAGUCUGGAUGCUACCAAGGAAAUAUCUAUGAGGACUGCAUCCUCAGAAGAAUCUGCAAGGAGCCUUGGAUGUGUCCACAUCCUCAUCCUGACCCCUAGAAUCAAAAGGACCGUGCUGAUCCACUUGUUGCAAGCAAUUAUUUUAGCUGUGAAACUCUAUUGCUACCACGAGCAAGGUCUGUGAGAUGUUUUAACAUCGAUUUCCAUGUGCUACUGCUUUUCUAUAACAUGAGUGAAGUUGAACAGAAAUUAUAGGACUACAGAAUUUGAUGGGACGUAUGAAGUGAGAAUGAAUUUUCCUGCCUCCACUCAAAGCUUGACAGAUGCAGUUAGAUAAACCUAAUCUUAAAGGUUUUAUACCAAGUAAAAUGAAUGUUGUGUGAUAUGCGUGCCGAAACACUGUGUGUCUUGACAAAAUAUGAAGAAAAGACACUCUUUUCUAGCAGCAAAGAGGUCGCUAACUUGUGAGAGAGGAGGAGAAAUCCCUUGGUAUACAUAGAUUACAGGCAGUGGAAUUUUCUUUGAUCUAAACCAACGUCUGUAUCUGCAUUCCUCUAAAUUAAGUGAUACAGUUUGGUGCAUUUUCACUGAAAUGAUGCAAUACAAACAUGCCCAAGCUCCCUUCCCGGGCAGUACUGUGUUAGGGAAUGUUCCCAGCCUUUAUUUACAUAAUUAUCUUGAGCUAUCCAUAGCUUAGUAUCAAGUAUCAGGAAAAAUUUCUUUGAUGAAUGAAAGCAAGGAAUCUAUGUGCUGGAAAAUGAGUUUUUUCACUUUUGUUUCUAUGAAAGGUUUCCAACCUCACUGUCAUUUGUCACUGCAUCAUUGUACUCAAUGUAUGGACACGUAUCAAGGUUAUUUAAAAUGAUCUGUAUGUUUUGUGCUUGUGUAGGAUUGUUAGUGUAGCUUUUUCUCUGUUUAGAGCUGCAAUUUCAUAUUCCAUUACAUUUACUUUGCAGUGCAAUAAAGUAGAUUUUCCUG